This 327-nucleotide ribosomal RNA is filed under the name uncultured eukaryote. RNAcentral's name for it is "partial 18S ribosomal RNA". It matches the Rfam family "Eukaryotic small subunit ribosomal RNA", at positions 1470 to 1796 of the family's 1831-position model. The record is from RNAcentral.
CCCUUAGAUGUUCUGGGCCGCACACGCGCUACACUGAAGGAGGCAGCGUGUACUCCUGGAUCGAAAGAUUUGGGUAACCCGCGAAUCUCCUUCGUGCUAGGGAUUGAGGUUUGCAAUUAUCCUUCAUGAACGAGGAAUUCCCAGUAAGUGCAAGUCAUAAGCUUGCGCUGACUACGUCCCUGCCCUUUGUACACACCGCCCGUCGCUACUACCGAUUGAAUGAUUUAGUGAGGACUUCGGACUGGGACCGAUGCGGCUUUCGGGCUGCGUCGGUAUUCUGGAAAGAUGUCCAAACUGUAUCAUUUAGAGGAAGUAAAANUCAUANCA